This 595-nucleotide long non-coding RNA is filed under the name Drosophila guanche. Lineage: Eukaryota; Metazoa; Arthropoda; Insecta; Diptera; Drosophilidae. The record is from RNAcentral.
UUCGCUUUUUAUUUAAUUUGUUUUUGAAUGUUACCAUUUGAUUCAACAUCUCAUCUGACUUGUUUCCGUUUUAUGUUAAUUGCUUUUAUCGUUAAUUGCAUUCGUGUUGGGAGGAGCCAAGUGGGAGUAGACUUAGGGGGAGGUUUACGGAGGGAGGGCACAUCUUUUGGCCCCUUGGGGGUCUCUUACUAAGUAAUUAAUACCCUCCGAAUUUUUGUGGUUGAGGCUUCAGUUUAUUUUUGCGGUAUUCCAGGAGAAACAUCUGUUCAAUUUGAAAAGCAGUCGGUGACUGUUCGGAUGGCAUAUAAAAUACCAAAGAAAGAGGAUAAGAAACACUAUGGCCAAGUAAGUAUCUGGUGACUAGGUUAUUGUUGUGACUUAGAACAAUCAUAUUAGGUUACAUUUUGAAUUGUUCGUGAUUGUUUUGUUUCGUAAAUAUGUGAGGGGAAAAGGUUAUGAUAUAACGCGAAUUGAAUUGUGUUCUUAAGUUUCGCAUUUUGAUGCCCUGACAAUCUUUUAGAUAUUAUUUUCCUACUUCAUAUCAUGUGUGCAUUUAUUAAGAUACAUCCAAAAUAUUUCACUUGUUUUAAUAUUC